GAUUUUCAAAUCCAUAAUCUAGAAUCUGGGAGGCCUCCGAAAGACAUGGGUACCCAUGAGUCCCCCGGCUAGGAUGAUCUGGACGCAUGGAUCAGCAGAUCGUGAAACUGCAUGAAGCACAAGCUAGAAGGUCGGGCGAGUAGAUUUCGCUCGGAUAUUCUAGGAUAUGACUUGUACACCAAGUUAGAUUAAUUUCCUUGUAACAACCGAUUAGGAUUAGAUCCAAUCCGACUUGUAAUCUUAAGUCGUCAGCCUAUAUAAGACGUCUAGAGACACCACCCUCCCCCCCAAGGGACAUCCCAUCCUAGACCUCAC
Molecule: long non-coding RNA, 315 nt
Filed under: Setaria viridis
Lineage: Eukaryota; Viridiplantae; Streptophyta; Magnoliopsida; Poales; Poaceae
Description: long non-coding RNA (SVIR_LNC000069)
Source: RNAcentral